AUUGAACGCUGGCGGCAGGCCUAACACAUGCAAGUCGAACGGUAACAGGAAGCAGCUUGCUGCUUCGCUGACGAGUGGCGGACGGGUGAGUAAUGUCUGGGAAACUGCCUGAUGGAGGGGGAUAACUACUGGAAACGGUAGCUAAUACCGCAUAACGUCGCAAGACCAAAGAGGGGGACCUUAGGGCCUCUUGCCAUCGGAUGUGCCCAGAUGGGAUUAGCUAGUAGGUGGGGUAACGGCCCACCUAGGAGACGAUCCCUAGCUGGUCUGAGAGGAUGACCAGCCACACUGGAACUGAGACACGGUCCAGACUCCUACGGGAGGCAGCAGUGGGGAAUAUUGCACAAUGGGCGCAAGCCUGAUGCAGCCAUGCCGCGUGUAUGAAGAAGGCCUUCGGGUUGUAAAGUACUUUCAGCGGGGAGGAAGGGAGUAAAGUUAAUACCUUUGCUCAUUGACGUUACCCGCAGAAGAAGCGCCGGCUAACUCCGUG
This 490-nucleotide ribosomal RNA is filed under the name uncultured bacterium. Its description in RNAcentral is "partial 16S ribosomal RNA". It matches the Rfam family "Bacterial small subunit ribosomal RNA", at positions 30 to 507 of the family's 1533-position model. The record is from RNAcentral.